Molecule: ribosomal RNA, 496 nt
Filed under: uncultured bacterium
Lineage: Bacteria
Description: bacterial SSU rRNA
Rfam family: Bacterial small subunit ribosomal RNA
Source: RNAcentral
AGUGAACGCUGGCGGCAGGCCUAAUACAUGCAAGUCGAACGGCAGCACGGCAGAGCUUGCUCUGUGGGUGGCGAGUGGCGGACGGGUGAGGAAUACAUGGGAAUCUGCCCAGUCGUGGGGGAUAACGUAGGGAAACUUACGCUAAUACCGCAUGCGCCCUUCGGGGGAAAGCCGGGGACCUUCGGGCCUGGCGCGAUUGGAUGAGCCCAUGUCGGAUUAGCUAGUUGGCGGGGUAAGUGGCCCACCAAGGCGACGAUCCGUAGCUGGUCUGAGAGGAUGAUCAGCCACACUGGAACUGAGACACGGUCCAGACUCCUACGGGAGGCAGCAGUAGGGAAUAUUGGACAAUGGGCGCAAGCCUGAUCCAGCCAUGCCGCGUGAGUGAAGAAGGCCCUCGGGUUGUAAAGCUCUUUUGUCCGGAAAGAAAAGCGCCGGGUUAAUACCCUGGUGUCCUGACGGUACCGGAAGAAUAAGCACCGGCUAACUUCGUGCCAGC